Molecule: non-coding RNA, 134 nt
Organism: Xylaria castorea
Lineage: Eukaryota; Fungi; Ascomycota; Sordariomycetes; Xylariales; Xylariaceae
Source: the annotation of a GenBank genome assembly
GCCCGGUUAGCUCAAUCGGUAGAGCGUGAGACUCUUAAUCUCAAGGUUGCGGGUAAGUUACCAUAUUUCAUCGCACGAACCGCGUUCGACUAAGAUACUGACAACCUUGCCAGGUUCGACCCCCGCAUCGGGCU